AUAACAAGUUGCCAGCGACAAAUCCCUCGGUAGGGAAAGCUCGCUUUACAGCAGACUAGCUGGACCAACUGGCC
Molecule: non-coding RNA, 74 nt
Filed under: unclassified sequences
Description: DUF3800-II RNA
Rfam family: DUF3800-II RNA
Source: Rfam by way of RNAcentral